GAUGAACGCUGGCGGCGUGCCUAAUACAUGCAAGUCGAGCGAACAGACGAGGAGCUUGCUCCUCUGACGUUAGCGGCGGACGGGUGAGUAACACGUGGAUAACCUACCUAUAAGACUGGGAUAACUUCGGGAAACCGGAGCUAAUACCGGAUAAUAUAUUGAACCGCAUGGUUCAAUAUUGAAAGACGGUUUUGCUUUCACUUAUAGAUGAAUCCGCGCCGCAUUAGCUAGUUGGUAAGGUAACGGCUUACCAAGGCGACGAUGCGUAGCCGACCUGAGAGGGUGAUCGGCCACACUGGAACUGAGACACGGUCCAGACUCCUACGGGAGGCAGCAGUAGGGAAUCUUCCGCAAUGGGCGAAAGCCUGACGGAGCAACGCCGCGUGAGUGAUGAAGGUCUUCGGAUCGUAAAACUCUGUUAUUAGGGAAGAACAAAUGUGUAAGUAACUAUGCACGUCUUGACGGUACCUAAUCAGAAAGCCACGGCUAACUACGUG
RNAcentral lists this ribosomal RNA (497 nucleotides) under uncultured bacterium. RNAcentral's name for it is "partial 16S ribosomal RNA". It matches the Rfam family "Bacterial small subunit ribosomal RNA", at positions 28 to 507 of the family's 1533-position model. The record is from RNAcentral.